RNAcentral lists this ribosomal RNA (301 nucleotides) under uncultured bacterium. RNAcentral's name for it is "partial 16S ribosomal RNA". It matches the Rfam family "Bacterial small subunit ribosomal RNA", at positions 509 to 807 of the family's 1533-position model. The record is from RNAcentral.
CAGUCGCCACGGUAAUACGUAGGGUGCGAGCGUUAAUCGGAAUUACUGGGCGUAAAGCGUGCGCAGGCGGUUCGUUAAGACAGAUGUGAAAUCCCCGGGCUUAACCUGGGAACUGCAUUUGUGACUGGCGAGCUAGAGUAUGGCAGAGGGGGGUAGAAUUCCACGUGUAGCAGUGAAAUGCGUAGAGAUGUGGAGGAAUACCGAUGGCGAAGGCAGCCCCCUGGGCCAAUACUGACGCUCAUGCACGAAAGCGUGGGGAGCAAACAGGAUUAGAUACCCGUGUAGUCCCUGUCUCUUAUAC